RNAcentral lists this ribosomal RNA (408 nucleotides) under uncultured bacterium. Its description in RNAcentral is "partial 16S ribosomal RNA". It matches the Rfam family "Bacterial small subunit ribosomal RNA", at positions 28 to 526 of the family's 1533-position model. The record is from RNAcentral.
GACGAACGCUGGCGGCGUGCUUAACACAUGCAAGUCGAACGGAGUGGCGAACGGGUGAGUAACACGUGGGUGACCUGCCCUGCACUUCGGGAUAAGCCUGGGAAACUGGGUCUAAUACCGGAUAGUGUGGGAUGGGCCCGCGGCCUAUCAGCUUGUUGGUGGGGUAAUGGCCUCCCAAGGCGGCGACGGGUAGCCGGCCUGAGAGGGUGGACGGCCACAAUGGGACUGAGAGACGGAGCAGAGGCGUACGGGGGGCAGCAGGGGGGAGUAUGGCACAAUGGGCGGAAGCCUGCUGCGGCGACGCCGGGGGGGGGAUGACGGCCUUCGGGUUGUGAACUCCUUUCACCAUCGACGCGGUAGAUGGAGAAGAAGCACCGGCUAACUACGUGCCAGCCGCCGCGGUAAUAC